RNAcentral lists this ribosomal RNA (119 nucleotides) under Triticum monococcum subsp. aegilopoides. Lineage: Eukaryota; Viridiplantae; Streptophyta; Magnoliopsida; Poales; Poaceae. The record is from RNAcentral.
GGAUGCGAUCAUACCAGCACUAAAGCACCGGAUCCCAUCAGAACUCCGAAGUUAAGCGUCCUUGGCGAGAGUAGUACUAGGAUGGGUGACCUCCUGGGAAGUCCUUGUGUUGCAUUGCC